Non-coding RNA from Delphinapterus leucas (beluga whale), 785 nucleotides. NCBI's taxonomy places the organism in Eukaryota, Metazoa, Chordata, Mammalia, Artiodactyla, Monodontidae. The record is from RefSeq and is a predicted model, not a curated record.
CCUGUUUUGUCAUAACCACAGCUCAGAGUAAAGCAGCUCCACAGAACAGCUCCCUCGGCAGCCAGGCUGGCAUGGCAAGGCCACACGUAUUGGUCCUAUGAGAGUCGGAGAAAGGUCGUCAGAGCGCGUUCCUUUCCUAUUUUACAAAUGAGGAAGCCGAGGCUUCUUGAAGCCAGUUAGCUUACCAAGGUCACACAGGUCAUAAGUGGAGAGUCUGAACUCACCCCCAGACAGGCCCGUUCCCAACCGCUGGAGACACCUGACCCAGAGCCCCCGUUCACCUGAGCCUCCCCUGGCCUGGACGGGGCGGCAAGACUGGACGACACCAAUGAAGAAAACAGCUCACUGCAAGGACUCAGAUACGACUGCAAGAUGCCCCUGUUUACCUGGGACAAGGGCAGACACGGACCCUCCGAAUUCCCAUUCCUCAACUCACUUCAGUCCCCAGUGGUCAUUCGGAACAUGACGCUCAGUAACCAACCUUCCGUUCAGCUUCUCUCCCUCCUCCAGGCAUAGACCUUUGGCCCAGCCUCACCCAGAGCCAGCAGGAGCCCCUCCUGAGCACACGCAGGCCAGCAGGAGCCCCUCCUGAUGUCCUCUCCUAGGAAGCCACCCUCCCAGCCCAUCUCCCACCCCCGGUUCUUUCUAGCUGUGUUUACCCCUCUCUGUAAAGAAAGCCCUUUUUGCCUAACCCUUGAGAAGCUUGCAGACCUUCAAGUCAGAGCUUUCUGCUGUUGCUAGAGUCCCCUCGCCCUGCAGUAUCCUCGAGAAUAAAAUCUUUUCUA